AUACGGAGGGAGCGAGCGUUAAUCGGAAUUACUGGGCGUAAAGCGCGCGUAGGCGGCUUUGUAAGUCGGAUGUGAAAGCCCAGGGCUCAACCCUGGAAUUGCAUUCGAUACUGCACGGCUAGAGUAUGGUAGAGGGAAGUGGAAUUUCCGGUGUAGCGGUGAAAUGCGUAGAUAUCGGAAGGAACACCAGUGGCGAAGGCGACUUCCUGGGCCAAUACUGACGCUGAGGUGCGAAAGCGUGGGGAGCAAACAGGAUUAGAAACCCGAGUAGUCC
Molecule: ribosomal RNA, 274 nt
Filed under: uncultured bacterium
Lineage: Bacteria
Description: partial 16S ribosomal RNA
Rfam family: Bacterial small subunit ribosomal RNA
Source: RNAcentral